CGGACGGGUGAGUAACGCGUGGGUAACCUGCCUUACACAGGGGGAUAGCACUUAGAAAUAGGUGCUAAUACCGCAUGAGCGCACAGGACCGCAUGGUCGAGUGUGAAAAACUGAGGUGGUGUAAGAUGGACCCGCGUCUGAUUAGCUAGUUGGUGAGGUAACGGCCCACCAAGGCGACGAUCAGUAGCCGGCCUGAGAGGGUGGACGGCCACAUUGGGACUGAGACACGGCCCAAACUCCUACGGGAGGCAGCAG
Molecule: ribosomal RNA, 255 nt
Filed under: uncultured bacterium
Lineage: Bacteria
Description: partial 16S ribosomal RNA
Rfam family: Bacterial small subunit ribosomal RNA
Source: RNAcentral